CUCUGUGACUCCUACGGGAGGCAGCAGUGGGGGAAUAUUGCACAAUGGGCGCAAGCCUGAUGCAGCCAUGCCGCGUGUGUGAAGAAGGCCUUCGGGUUGUAAAGCACUUUCAGUUGUGAGGAAGGUGGUGUCGUUAAUAGCGGCAUCAUUUGACGUUAGCAACAGAAGAAGCACCGGCUAACUCCGUGCCAGCAGCCGCGGUAAUACGGAGGGUGCGAGCGUUAAUCGGAAUUACUGGGCGUAAAGCGCAUGCAGGUGGUUUGUUAAGUCAGAUGUGAAAGCCCGGGGCUCAACCUCGGAACUGCAUUUUGAAACUGGCAGACUAGAGUACUGUAGAGGGGGUAGAAUUUCAGGUGUAGCGGUGAAAUGCGUAGAGAUCUGAAGGAAUACCGGUGGCGAAGGCGGCCCCCUGGACAGAUACUGACACUCAGAUGCGAAAGCGUGGGGAGCAAACAGGAUUAGAUACCCUGGUAG
Molecule: ribosomal RNA, 474 nt
Filed under: uncultured bacterium
Lineage: Bacteria
Description: bacterial SSU rRNA
Rfam family: Bacterial small subunit ribosomal RNA
Source: RNAcentral